CCUACGGGAUGCAGCAGUGAGGAAUAUUGGUCAAUGGACGCAAGUCUGAACCAGCCAUGCCGCGUGCAGGAAGACGGCUCUAUGAGUUGUAAACUGCUUUUGUACGAGGGUAAACCUGGAUACGUGUAUUCGGCUGAAAGUACUGUACGAAUAAGGAUCGGCUAACUCCGUGCUAACAGCCGCGGUAAUACGGAGGAUCCGAGCGUUAUCCGGAUUUAUUGGGUUUAAAGGGUGCGUAGGCGGAUUGAUAAGUUAGAGGUGAAAUGUCCGGGCUCAACCCGGGAACUGCCUCUAAUACUGUUGGUCUAGAGAAUAGAUGCGGUAGGCGGAAUGUAUGGUGUAGCGGUGAAAUGCUUAGAGAUCAUACAGAACACCGAUUGCGAAGGCAGCUUACCAAUCUAUAUCUGACGUUGAGGCACGAAAGCGUGGGUAGCAAACAGGAUUAGAUACCCGAGUAGUC
RNAcentral lists this ribosomal RNA (460 nucleotides) under uncultured bacterium. RNAcentral describes it as "partial 16S ribosomal RNA". It matches the Rfam family "Bacterial small subunit ribosomal RNA", at positions 338 to 795 of the family's 1533-position model. The record is from RNAcentral.